CUAACCCCUUCCAACCCUACCCGACGCCCUUAUUUCCCAAUUCCCUCUCCUUUCUCUCGUCCACACACCCGUCAAUCACCAGAACCUUGAAGUCACAAGAUUCAAUCAUAAACCAUCCAUCCUGUCCCUAUAUCCGCGAAUCCAUCCGAUUCAUUUCCAUUUUUAUCACUGUAAUUCAAAAACUGCAAAUCAAACCCUAGACCUAAAAGUACGCAACUGAAAUUCAUAUGUCCUUCCAUCAUAUUUCAAAUUGGAGCAUGCAUGUCCGAUUAUUAUCAUUAUUAUUCAUGUCCAUAGGUCAAACACAGUGACCUCUGGAAAUUAGAGCUUUUCCCGAUGGGUCUUCACUUUCAACGGUCGAUUCGUCCACUCUCGUGCCAAGACUGUUGUGAGUUUAUGCUUUCAAAUGGCUAAGGACCAACAUUCACUUGGUUUGCUGCCCUGCAGAAGGUCAGUACAUACAGACUCCCCUUUUUUACUUUGAAUUAAUCGCAUGGUUCUGUGUCCUUGAUGAUUACUUUGUUAAUUCUCUAUUGUUUAGGAUAGAUAUUAGUUGUGAAUCCAUAUUUUCCCCACCCUGUCUUUGUAUGCUAGUUUCACUGCUGAAUUGGAAAUCUUUUGAUUAACUUUACUAAGCCUCUAUGAUUAAGCUAAGUUAACUUUUGUGCAGAUUUUGUGCAUAACUCACCUCUGUUAGUUAAACAACACUUAUAUAAGCAUAACCAUGUGAGCUACACUAACUGAAUCAUGUUUCUUGGAUUGUUCUUGGUAUUUUGCAUCUCCAGUGAUGAGAUAAACUUGACCAACUUUCUUGUGACACUGUGUUGCUAUGUCCUGGUCUAGCAAACGACUCUCCCUAUAUUUUAUGUCUUAUACUUAACCUGUCCACUUUAAUGACCUUGGCUGAUAUAUUUGUAGUUGAUAACCUGCCUAUUUUGCAUAUUGAGUGAUCAAUGUAUACCUGUUACUCUUAGAGAAUGUUAAGGCUUCAUGAUUAAUUGAAUUAAAUCCUAUGCUAACAAUCUUGUAUGUGAUCUGUUAGUCAAGUAAUUGGUUCUAUGCAUGCUAUCAUGGAAUAAAAUCAGACCUUUGAACUCCUCUUAAGAACACUGUUAACUUCCCAACACUAAGCCAUCUCGACAUUUGUGAUGCUAUGUUGUUUUGCCUUAGUCCUAGGAGCAUAAUUGUGUCAUUGCUCAUGUUCUCAAGUUGAUUUGUUUAGGCUCUAGUUAGCAUCCUGUUCAUACUACUAUGAUAAGGUGAUAUUUGUGUGCUUCUUAUGAUAGUUGGAAACAAAAGAGACCAUAUAAUGAACUCUGUUAGUAUGUUAGAAGGCGUGCUCUCAUGUCUGAAUGUGAUUGACCCCUAUAAGAAUGCCAUCUCAAGAUUGCUGAUGUCCUGCUAGGUUGAGCCAUGAUAUUAUAAUAACCUGUAUACAUAUUCAUGCACUACGUUUUGCUAGUGAACCCGUUUGCAUAUCCAUGUGUUAGUAUACUUUGACAUGUUAGCCUAACUGUUAAAACGAUAAGAUAUUAAUGAGAAGUAUGCCUUCUCUUAAUUAUGUAAAGGGUUUUAGAAGCCACUGUGAACCUUUUUUAUGAUUUGAAUCUACUUAGUAGAAUUCUGAUACAUUAGACUUACAGUGGAACCAAUAAAACAAACACAUGUGCUCAUCUCUGUAUGAUGCUGAUAAUUUAAACUACUUGUUAACACUUCUGAGCCUAAAGAGAUAAGUGAAGAGGCAUAUCUAUGUGCAGUUGACUACCCGUGCCCUAUAACCUUAUUUGACUAUAUCCCCAUAGUGACUCCAUGCCUGCUAUAGUAUCUUAUUCUAUGAUGUGGAUUUUCUAAGUCAAUGUUGUGCCUUGGACUGUUCUCUGUAUUGUUAUAAACUACAAUAUCCUAUUUGCUUAAAGUUGGUAGAUCUGUAUGUGUCUGAACCUUAAAAAAGGGGUUUACCAUGACUCUUACACCUACUGUUUGUAUCUUGGUAAUAUGAAAUUGCUAUGUUGAGCCCUUUAUUUAUGUUUAAGCCUCUAAGGAAGAUUAAUAGUGGGUGGCUAAGGGUAUUUGGAUGUGAAAACUUAUUUUGUGGUUAUGACACCCCUCCUUGACACAAGCACUACUCGGAGUCCGUGAGGCACUCGUGAGCUCUGAAGUGUCAAGGGUUCAAAUGAGGGAUUAUAUCCAUAAAUGAGGAUUUACACCAAGCCUUUAGUCAUUAACUCUUAUUAAUUCUCAUAGGAUUAACACAAAUGAGGAAUGACUCUACUGUAUUCUUUAGCUUUUGUGCUUAUCAUUAUGUUAUUUCUUCCCCACAUGGAUAUACUAAUUAUUCUCUUUUCUUUUGUACGCAUGAAUUCAAAUUGGGCCUGAUGAACCCAUUUGGAGCUCAAGUCCAAUUUCCAGAUUUGGGUCAUUUCGUUCUAGCUGAGUUCACUGCUUGUGCUGGGCCUGGCUAUCAGCUGGCCCAUAUCGAGAGUCCAGUUCACAUUUCUCCUUCCUUUAAUUAUACUUGUUGUUCUUUACCGCUUCUGUGUGUAUACAUACUUUAGAAAAACUAAUCAUAUUGAAUGUGUUGAUAUUUG
Nicotiana tabacum (common tobacco) is the source of this 2588-nucleotide long non-coding RNA. RefSeq lists it as uncharacterized. Lineage: Eukaryota; Viridiplantae; Streptophyta; Magnoliopsida; Solanales; Solanaceae. The record is from RefSeq and is a predicted model, not a curated record.